Molecule: ribosomal RNA, 497 nt
Filed under: uncultured bacterium
Lineage: Bacteria
Description: partial 16S ribosomal RNA
Rfam family: Bacterial small subunit ribosomal RNA
Source: RNAcentral
GAUGAACGCUGGCGGCGUGCCUAAUACAUGCAAGUCGAGCGAACAGACGAGGAGCUUGCUCCUCUGACGUUAGCGGCGGACGGGUGAGUAACACGUGGAUGACCUACCUAUAAGACUGGGAUAACUUCGGGAAACCGGAGCUAAUACCGGAUAAUAUAUUGAACCGCAUGGUUCAAUAGUGAAAGACGGUUUUGCUGUCACUUAUAGAUGGAUCCGCGCCGCAUUAGCUAGUUGGUAAGGUAACGGCUUACCAAGGCAACGAUGCGUAGCCGACCUGAGAGGGUGAUCGGCCAAACUGGAACUGAGACACGGUCCAGACUCCUACGGGAGGCAGCAGUAGGGAAUCUUCCGCAAUGGGCGAAAGCCUGACGGAGCAACGCCGCGUGAGUGAUGAAGGUCUUCGGAUCGUAAAACUCUGUUAUUAGGGAAGAACAAAUGUGUAAGUAACUAUGCACGUCUUGACGGUACCUAAUCAGAAAGCCACGGCUAACUACGUG